UUUUUUUGUUGCUUGUCUUGGUUUUAUGCCUUUUAUGUGCCUUGAUAUAAAAGGCAUAAAACCAAGACAAGCAACAGAAAAA
Molecule: microRNA precursor, 82 nt
Organism: Homo sapiens (human)
Lineage: Eukaryota; Metazoa; Chordata; Mammalia; Primates; Hominidae
Product: microRNA 3910-2
Source: Ensembl